UCACUGUCCCAGAGCUACUCCUCCGCGAGCGGCCCAAAGUAUUACUCUGCCCUCAGCUGGACAGAGAUCCUUCCAUGGAGACCAGCGGGGUGGGCUGGAAACCUGCAGUUUUUAUCAGCUCUCUAGUGUGGGGAAAGUACCGGUCUGGUUCCCGGGAUAGUCCUCCCCCAAUCCCGUCACUGAGAGUUCCUGCGACUGUUCCAACCCAGAGGCUUGGCAUCGGCUUUGUUUCCCCGGAAAAGAACAAAAUACAGGGUGUGGCAUGCAGGCUCCUGCGGGUGGGGCAGGCUGGGUCACCCAGGGUGCAUUUUUUUCUUUUCCUGUCCUGUGGCUGCUGGGAGCAGCUACUUCCUCUCAGGAAAAAUGGCCAUUUCGGUUUGGGGGCCGAUGAGCAAAUGUUCCUGGCUGCUGAUUUUCCAAGUCUCCCUGCAGUGCUUCCACCGCAGCAUCUCCUUAGGCACCUCAGUCCCUGUCUCCCUCCCUGCACCAAAGCCUUGGGUGAGUAGCUGCAAAUGAAAACUCUUGUGCUCUGGGUUAAAAAAAAACAAACAAAACAAAACAAAACAAACGAAAUGAAACUGCAGCUUUCUCUACAACCGGCUCCAGACUCCACCAGGCCAGCAGCCCUGCCCCCUUUCACUGCUGUAUGUUACGUGGGCUGCAGGUCUCCGCUCUGGUGCUCCGGGCUGUGGAGCCCAGCUGGGUUCCCGUCUCUCUCUUCUGAGGAAACAGACGCUCCCAUAGCCAGGUGCUCCCUCCUCACUCUCGGCCCGCCUGCCCGCCCGCCUGCUGCCCCUGGAAGCUGGGUCCGCUCCUCCCAUGACCUCGCCCUUCCUACUGGUCUCCAGGUGUGUUCUGUCCUUCCUCAGCUGGACCUCAGUUGGUAAUUCCAGGCAAAUGUUCUCCAAUUUUGUUUUUCCAGUCUGGCCCUGGGAUGAGGUACGUGACAGGUCUGCCUAUUCAGCCACCUUUUUUGCUGCUAGCAUAAAUUAUUAUUAGCUGUUGUCCUCUUGCAAUUGUUUUCAGUGAUUUUUAAUGACCAUCAAUCUUCAAUCCUGGCUCUGUCCAGCCCUAACGUGUUGGCUUGUCUGAAGUUACACCACCUCGGAUCAAGCCCUGACUUCCUGGCUUACCAGCUGAGGAUGGUCCCCAAACUCUCCAAGCUUCCAUCUAUUCAUCUGAGAAAUGGGGAUAAGGAUUAUUAUGAUGAUCCAAUGCCAUAAUCCAAAGCAGAGUGAGUGAACCAUACGUUCUACACUAUCUACAGUAACAGAAGAAACUGCUGGAAGAAUAAUGGCCAAUGUCUCACUAAGAACCCUUAAAAACAGCCACUACCAAUUUAUUCACUGAAAGCUCUACAUGGGAGGAAAACAAGCCAAAUUAAUGAUGUGCUUACUGUCCCAUCCACAGGAACAGGACAUAAGGAACAGAUGACAUUAUUUUUCAUGAGCCAGGUGGUCAUUCUGUGAUGAGUUGAAUGUCAGUAAAAAAUUUUAACAAGGCAAGAGGGGGAAGGACACCAGCUUCCCAGGUGGAUCACUGGUCAGCAAGCUUUAGCAAGGCAAAGCCUGGACUCGCAUGCCAGAGAUUCUGCCAACAGCUCACAUAUUUCAGUGUACUCCACAUAUUUGAGGGCUCAGCAACCAAAGCAAAGCAGGGGGAAACAAUGAUGGUGGAAGCUGGCUUGGUUGAAAAAGUCCAAGGGCACAGUAGUUCUUUACCUCCAUAUCCAACCAAGAGAACAGUGCACUCCAUACCCAAGCAUUGUGCUGCAAUGACUCUAAGUGAGUGCUUUUAGCCUCAUGUCCCUAAUCUUCCAUCCAUCUGUCCUCAGGUGGUCAUCCUGUGAUGAAUUGAAUGUCAGCAAAAAAUUUUAACAAGGAUGGGGUCAAGGAUAGGUAACCAGGCAUAACUCCAAGUUUCCCACUCCCAGACAUGGGUGCGUCAAGGUCCUGAUUAGACCCUUGUAACUGUAAAUCAAAGACGUUUGUAGUUUCUGUGAAUAAAAGCUCACUGAGCACAAAGCUCGGGGCUGUUACAGGAGGGGCCUAUGGUAGACGCUGGCCAGCUCAAUAAAUCCUCGCUUGCUGUUUAAGACCUAAUUGGAGUCAGUGGUCUUAUUCUCGUGAAUGUUGGUCCACAACAAUCCCUUCCUAGACUUCAAGGACCUCUCAUGCAUUUUAUAAUUUUUCUGUGUUGUGUGACAAUUCUAAAUCUUCAGAGAUUAUCAUAAGGUACAACCCAAGCAAGAAUGUUUUGAUGAUAUAAGGGCACUCUAAAAUUUCAAAACACCAUUAAGAAUAAUAAUGGUAACUAUCUGGUAGGGACUAUUGAAGUACGGUACCUAUUUGCUUUGUUUAACAAUGGACAAGUUACUUUGAUUUUCUAAAUUGUAUAAGUCAUCCCAUUCGAUUGAAUGCCUUAUUGAUUGUAACAUGACUAUCCCAUUGAUUGUGAUCU
Myotis myotis is the source of this 2460-nucleotide long non-coding RNA. RefSeq lists it as uncharacterized. The record is from RefSeq and is a predicted model, not a curated record. The transcript is spliced from 3 exons. Lineage: Eukaryota; Metazoa; Chordata; Mammalia; Chiroptera; Vespertilionidae.